UACGGAGGGAGCUAGCGUUGUUCGGAAUUACUGGGCGUAAAGCGCACGUAGGCGGCUUUGUAAGUUAGAGGUGAAAGCCCGGGGCUCAACUCCGGAACUGCCUUUAAGACUGCAUCGCUUGAAUCCGGGAGAGGUGAGUGGAAUUCCGAGUGUAGAGGUGAAAUUCGUAGAUAUUCGGAGGAACACCAGUGGCGAAGGCGGCUCACUGGUCCGGUACUGACGCUGAGGUGCGAAAGCGUGGGGAGCAAACAGG
RNAcentral lists this ribosomal RNA (253 nucleotides) under uncultured bacterium. RNAcentral describes it as "partial 16S ribosomal RNA". It matches the Rfam family "Bacterial small subunit ribosomal RNA", at positions 524 to 776 of the family's 1533-position model. The record is from RNAcentral.